This 503-nucleotide ribosomal RNA is filed under the name uncultured bacterium. Its description in RNAcentral is "partial 16S ribosomal RNA". It matches the Rfam family "Bacterial small subunit ribosomal RNA", at positions 30 to 523 of the family's 1533-position model. The record is from RNAcentral.
AUUGAACGCUGGCGGCAGGCUUAACACAUGCAAGUCGAGCGGGGUGAUGGUGCUUGCACUAUCACUUAGCGGCGGACGUGUGAGUAAUGCUUAGGAAUCUGCCUAUUAGUGGGGGACAACAUCUCGAAAGGGAUGCUAAUACCGCAUACGUCCUACGGGAGAAAGCAGGGGAUCACUUGUGACCUUGCGCUAAUAGAUGAGCCUAAGUCGGAUUAGCUAGUUGGUGGGGUAAAGGCCUACCAAGGCGACGAUCUGUAGCGGGUCUGAGAGGAUGAUCCGCCACACUGGGACUGAGACACGGCCCAGACUCCUACGGGAGGCAGCAGUGGGGAAUAUUGGACAAUGGGGGGAACCCUGAUCCAGCCAUGCCGCGUGUGUGAAGAAGGCCUUAUGGUUGUAAAGCACUUUAAGCGAGGAGGAGGCUCUUUUGGUUAAUACCCAAGAUGAGUGGACGUUACUCGCAGAAUAAGCACCGGCUGACUCUGUGCCAGCAGCCGCAGUAA